CCUACGGGAGGCUGCAGUGAGGAAUAUUGGUCAAUGGGCGCGAGCCUGAACCAGCCAAGUAGCGUGCAGGACGACUGCUCUACGGGUUGUAAACUUCUUUUAUAAAGGAAUAAAGUGAGGCACGUGUGCCUUUUUGUAUGUACUUUAUGAAUAAGGAUCGGCUAACUCCGUGCCAGCAGCCGCGGUAAUACGGAGGAUCCGAGCGUUAUCCGGAUUUAUUGGGUUUAAAGGGAGCGUAGAUGGUUUGUUAAGUUAGUGGUGAAAGUUCGCGGCUCAACAGUAGAGUUGCAAUUGAUACUGGCAGACUAGAGUACAGUUGAGGUAGGCGGAAUUCGUGGUGUAGCGGUGAAAUGCUUAGAUAUCACGCAGAACACCGAUUGCGAAGGCAGCUUACUAGGCUGCCUCUGACAUUGAUGCUCGAAAGUGUGGGUAUCAAACAGGAUUAGAUACCCUUGUAGUC
RNAcentral lists this ribosomal RNA (460 nucleotides) under uncultured bacterium. RNAcentral's name for it is "partial 16S ribosomal RNA". It matches the Rfam family "Bacterial small subunit ribosomal RNA", at positions 338 to 795 of the family's 1533-position model. The record is from RNAcentral.